UACAGAGGCUGCAAGCGUUAUUCGGAUUCACUGGGCGUAAAGGGUGCGCAGGCGGCCAAGUGUGUCAGAUGUGAAAUCCCGAGGCUCAACCUCGGAACUGCGUCUGAAACUAUUCGGCUAGAGUAUUGGAGAGGGUAACGGAAUUCACGGUGUAGCAGUGAAAUGCGUAGAUAUCGUGAGGAACACCAGAGGCGAAGGCGGUUACCUGGACAAUUACUGACGCUCAGGCACGAAAGCGUGGGGAGCAAACAGG
RNAcentral lists this ribosomal RNA (253 nucleotides) under uncultured bacterium. RNAcentral describes it as "partial 16S ribosomal RNA". It matches the Rfam family "Bacterial small subunit ribosomal RNA", at positions 524 to 776 of the family's 1533-position model. The record is from RNAcentral.